RNAcentral lists this ribosomal RNA (490 nucleotides) under uncultured bacterium. Its description in RNAcentral is "partial 16S ribosomal RNA". It matches the Rfam family "Bacterial small subunit ribosomal RNA", at positions 30 to 507 of the family's 1533-position model. The record is from RNAcentral.
AUUGAACGCUGGCGGCAGGCCUAACACAUGCAAGUCGAACGGUAACAGGAAGCAGCUUGCUGCUUCGCUGACGAGUGGCGGACGGGUGAGUAAUGUCUGGGAAACUGCCUGAUGGAGGGGGAUAACUACUGGAAACGGUAGCUAAUACCGCAUAACGUCGCAAGACCAAAGAGGGGGACCUUAGGGCCUCUUGCCAUCGGAUGUGCCCAGAUGGGAUUAGCUAGUAGGUGGGGUAACGGCUCACCUAGGCGACGAUCCCUAGCUGGUCUGAGAGGAUGACCAGCCACACUGGAACUGAGACACGGUCCAGACUCCUACGGGAGGCAGCAGUGGGGAAAUUUGCACAAUGGGCGCAAGCCUGAUGCAGCCAUGCCGCGUGUAUGAAGAAGGCCUUCGGGUUGUAAAGUACUUUCAGCGGGGAGGAAGGGAGUAAAGUUAAUACCUUUGCUCAUUGACGUUACCCGCAGAAGAAGCACCGGCUAACUCCGUG